This 253-nucleotide ribosomal RNA is filed under the name uncultured bacterium. Its description in RNAcentral is "partial 16S ribosomal RNA". It matches the Rfam family "Bacterial small subunit ribosomal RNA", at positions 524 to 776 of the family's 1533-position model. The record is from RNAcentral.
UACGAGGGGGGCGAGCGUUGUUCGGAAUUAUUGGGCGUAAAGGGCGCGUAGGCGGUGCGGUAAGUCACCUGUGAAACCUCUGGGCUUAACUCAGAGCCUGCAGGCGAAACUACCGUGCUUGAGUGUGGGAGAGGUGCGUGGAAUUCCCGGUGUAGCGGUGAAAUGCGUAGAUACUGGGAGGAACACCGGUGGCGAAGGCGGCUACCUGGACCGGUUCUGACGCUGAUGCGCGAAAGCGUGGGUAGCAAACAGG